Molecule: ribosomal RNA, 460 nt
Filed under: uncultured bacterium
Lineage: Bacteria
Description: partial 16S ribosomal RNA
Rfam family: Bacterial small subunit ribosomal RNA
Source: RNAcentral
CCUACGGGAGGCAGCAGUGAGGAAUAUUGGUCAAUGGACGAGAGUCUGAACCAGCCAAGUAGCGUGAAGGAUGACUGCCCUAUGGGUUGUAAACUUCUUUUAUAAAGGACUAAAACGAGGCACGUGUGCCUUUUUGCAUGUCCUUGAUGAAUAAGGAUCGGUUACCUCCGUUCCAGCAGCCGCGGUUAUACGGAGUAUCCGAACGUUAUCUGUAUGUAUUGGGUUUAAAGGGAGCGUAGGAGGGUUGUGAAUUCGAUUUUGAAAGUUUGGGGCUCAACCGCAAAAUUGCAAUGCAUACUGGCAGUCGUGACGACAGUUGAGGUAGGCGGACUGCGUGGUGUAGCGGUGAAAUGCUUAGAUAUGACGAAGAACCCCGAUUGCGAAGGCAGCUUACUAAACUGUGACUGACAUUGAUGCUCGAAAGUGUGGGUAUCAAACAGGAUUAGAUACCCCAGUAGUC